CCUACGGGUGGCAGCAGUCGAGAAUCAUUCACAAUGGGGGAAACCCUGAUGGUGCGACGCCGCGUGGGGGAAUGAAGGUCUUCGGAUUGUAAACCCCUGUCAUGUGGGAGCAAAUUAAAAAGAUAGUACCACAAGAGGAAGAGACGGCUAACUCUGUGCCAGCCGCCGCGGUAAUACAGAGGACUCAAGCGUUGUUCGGAAUCACUGGGCGUAAAGCGUGCGUAGGCUGUUUCGUAAGUCGUGUGUGAAGGGCGCGGGCUCAACCCGCGGACGGCACAAGAUACUGCGAGACUAGAGUAAUGGAGGGGGAACCGGAAUUCGCGGUGUAGCAUUGAAAGGCGUAGAUAUCGAGAGGAACACUCGUGGCGAAGGCGGGUUCCGGGACAUUAACUGACGCUGAGGCACGAAGGCCAGGGGAGCGAAAGGGAUUAGAUACCCCUGUAGUC
RNAcentral lists this ribosomal RNA (446 nucleotides) under uncultured bacterium. Its description in RNAcentral is "partial 16S ribosomal RNA". It matches the Rfam family "Bacterial small subunit ribosomal RNA", at positions 338 to 795 of the family's 1533-position model. The record is from RNAcentral.